GCAUAUCAAUAAGCGGAGGAAAAGAAAAUAACAAUGAUUCCCCUAGUAACUGCGAGUGAAGAGGGACAAGCUCAAAUUUUAAAUCUAUCGGGUUUUACCCGAUCGAGUUGUAAUUUGAAGAAGCGUUUUCUGCGUUUUUGGUCAGCCCAAGUCCUAUUGAAUGAGGCAUCAUGGAGGGUGAUAAUCCCGUCCGGUUGAUCAUUUGCGUUUUACGAUACGCUUUCUAAGAGUCAAGUUGUUUGGGAUUGCAGCUUAAAAUGGGAGGUAAAUUUCUCCUAAGGCUAAAUAACGGCGAGAGACCGAUAGCGAACAAGUACCGUGAGGGAAAGAUGAAAAGAACUUUGAAAAGAGAGUUAAACAGUACGUGAAAUUGUUGAAAGGAAAACGAUUGAAGCCAGUCGUACCUUCGGGUAAUCAGCCUUUCGGGUGCGAUUCUGUGGAGUGUGAUGAGCUUAACACCUUCAUGCUUUGCAUAUUUGUGCUCUUGGGUGUACUUGCCCGUGUGGUUGGUUAACAUCAAUUUUGGUUAUCAUAAAAUGAUUGGAGGAAUGUAGCUUCGAUCUCGUAUUGAAGUGUUAUAGCCUUCGGUAGAUGUGAUGAACGAGAUUGAGGAUUGCAACGGAUACCCUUCGGGGCUACCUGUCUGGUCUCUGAUCGUUGCUCUGGUGCCGAAAGCUUGCUUACGGUCAUCAAAGUCGAUGGCCAAUAGGUUAGAACGGGUUAAAUUCGUUAAGGAUGUUGACGUAAUGGCUUUAAACGACCCGUCUUGAAACACGGACCAAGGAGUCUAACAUAUAUGCGAGUGUUAGGGUGAUUAAACCCUUACGCGUAAUGAAAGUAAUUUUGGUGGGAACAUUUUUGUGCACCAUCGACCGAUCAGGAUAUUUUUUGAUAGAUUUGAGUAAGAGCAAAGGGCGA
Molecule: ribosomal RNA, 918 nt
Filed under: Rhizophagus irregularis
Lineage: Eukaryota; Fungi; Glomeromycota; Glomeromycetes; Glomerales; Glomeraceae
Description: eukaryotic LSU rRNA
Rfam family: Eukaryotic large subunit ribosomal RNA
Source: RNAcentral